This 1250-nucleotide ribosomal RNA is filed under the name metagenome. RNAcentral describes it as "bacterial SSU rRNA". It matches the Rfam family "Bacterial small subunit ribosomal RNA", at positions 248 to 1520 of the family's 1533-position model. The record is from RNAcentral.
GUUGGUGAGGUAAUGGCUCACCAAGGCAAUGACACCUAACUGGUUUGAGAGGAUGAUCAGUCACACUGGAACUGAGACACGGUCCAGACUCCUACGGGAGGCAGCAGUGGGGAAUAUUGCACAAUGGACGAAAGUCUGAUGCAGCAACGCCGCGUGGAGGAUGACACAUUUCGGUGCGUAAACUCCUUUUAUAUAGGAAGAUAAUGACGGUACUAUAUGAAUAAGCACCGGCUAACUCCGUGCCAGCAGCCGCGGUAAUACGGAGGGUGCAAGCGUUACUCGGAAUUACUGGGCGUAAAGAGCGUGUAGGCGGGUAAAUAAGUUGGAAGUGAAAUCCUAUGGCUCAACCAUAGAACUGCUUCCAAAACUGUUAACCUAGAAUGUGGGAGAGGUAGAUGGAAUUUCUGGUGUAGGGGUAAAAUCCGUAGAUAUCAGAAGGAAUACCGAUUGCGAAGGCGAUCUACUGGAACACUAUUGACGCUGAGACGCGAAAGCGUGGGGAGCAAACAGGAUUAGAUACCCUGGUAGUCCACGCCCUAAACGAUGUACACUAGUUGUUGUGAGGCUAGACCUUGCAGUAAUGCAGUUAACACAUUAAGUGUACCGCCUGGGGAGUACGGUCGCAAGAUUAAAACUCAAAGGAAUAGACGGGGACCCGCACAAGCGGUGGAGCAUGUGGUUUAAUUCGACAUACGCGAAGAACCUUACCUGGUCUUGACAUAGAAAGAACUUUCCAGAGAUGGAUUGGUGCCUGCUUGCAGGAGCUUUCAUACAGGUGCUGCACGGCUGUCGUCAGCUCGUGUCGUGAGAUGUUGGGUUAAGUCCCGCAACGAGCGCAACCCUCGUCGUUAGUUGCUAACAGUUCGGCCGAGAACUCUAACGAGACUGCCUACGCAGGUAGGAGGAAGGUGAGGACGACGUCAAGUCAUCAUGGCCCUUACGACCAGGGCUACACACGUGCUACAAUGGGGUAUACAAAGAGCAGCGAUACGGUGACGUGGAGCGAAUCUCAAAAAUGCCUCCCAGUUCGGAUAGUAGUCUGCAACUCGACUACUUGAAGUUGGAAUCGCUAGUAAUCGUAGAUCAGCUAUGCUACGGUGAAUACGUUCCCGGGUCUUGUACUCACCGCCCGUCACACCAUGGGAGUUGAAUUCAUUCGAAGCGGGGAUGCUAAAAUAGCUACCUUCCACAGUGGAUUUAGCGACUGGGGUGAAGUCGAAACAAGGUAACCGUAGGAGAACCUGCGGUUG